CAUAACAGCAAAAUUACAGUUAUGAAGUAGC
RNAcentral lists this non-coding RNA (31 nucleotides) under Mus musculus (house mouse). RNAcentral also lists the same sequence under 1 other name. Lineage: Eukaryota; Metazoa; Chordata; Mammalia; Rodentia; Muridae. The record is from RNAcentral.